GGUGAACCAGCGGAGGGAUCAU
This 22-nucleotide ribosomal RNA is filed under the name Sporothrix fraxini. Its description in RNAcentral is "partial 18S ribosomal RNA". Lineage: Eukaryota; Fungi; Ascomycota; Sordariomycetes; Ophiostomatales; Ophiostomataceae. The record is from RNAcentral.